This 512-nucleotide ribosomal RNA is filed under the name Dolichopus exsul. RNAcentral describes it as "partial 16S ribosomal RNA". It matches the Rfam family "Bacterial large subunit ribosomal RNA", at positions 1816 to 2596 of the family's 2925-position model. The record is from RNAcentral. Lineage: Eukaryota; Metazoa; Arthropoda; Insecta; Diptera; Dolichopodidae.
CAUGUCUUUUUGAGUUUAAUWUAAAGUCUAAUCUGCCCACUGAUAAUUAUUUAAGGGCCGCAGUAUUCUGACUGUGCAAAGGUAGCAUAAUCAUUAGUCUUUUAAUUGAGGGCUUGUAUGAAUGAUUGGACGAGAUAUAAGCUGUCUCAUAAAAAUUUAAAUAGAAUUUUAUUUUUUAGUCAAAAAGCUAAAAUAAAUUUAAAAGACGAGAAGACCCUAUAGAUCUUUAUAAUUUACUUUUAAAUUUUUUUAGGUUAUUUUUUAAAUUUAUAAGUUAAAUUAUUUUGUUGGGGUGACAAUGAAAUUUAAUAAACUUUCAUUAUUUUGAAACAUUAAUUUAUGAUUGAUUGAUCUACUAUUAGUGAUUAAAAAUUUAAGUUACCUUAGGGAUAACAGCGUAAUUAUUUUGGAGAGUUCUUAUCGAUAAAAUAGUUUGCGACCUCGAUGUUGGAUUAAGAUUAAUUCUGGGUGUAGCAGUUCAGUUUAUUAAGUCUGUUCGACUUUUAAUUUCU